AUCGUUUUCGCUUCUGAUAUUCAGCAACUCGAACGACAACCUUAUCCUCUGCGCCCUGAGACAAAUCUCAUCUCUGCAGGCCCAACUGCCCUCCUCUCACUUCCUUGCUCCACCUCAAAUUCUUCUUGUAUUCCCUGAUCAAAGAUGGCUGGUCGACUAAAAUUCAAGUUCCCCUGAAGAUUCCUUGCGCAGAUAUUUGGAUUCAUGGGCAUCGACUACAGCUCUCCUACGCUCGCUACCACUCUUAUGAAUUUUGUCCUGGCUUUCACUUUCAUACUCACCAUCAUUUUCAGGAUGGAAAAAUUGGCAUGGAACAGCACGAGCAGCCAGGCAAAGGUUGUCGGAACCAUAGCAUCAAUCACGGGAGCGUUCAUAGUCACUUUGUACAAGGGUUCGCCAGUCACUAUCCCGAGAACCCCUAAUCUUCACCUCUCUCCACAGUCAAGUUGGGUCGUUGGUGGGUUCUUGUAGGCGAAGGCCUUAUGAUCUCCUUGGGUUUCAUUGUCCAGGUUAACGAGACCCCACUGAUCAUCCCAUCAUAUUUCAAGGUAUUCCCGGAACGUAAUUAGAAUAAAUAAAACACUUCAUUUAAUCUCUCUCCAGUCCAUCUCGCAGGAAUUGAUCAUCGGGGGUUUCCUGGUGGUGCUAAUCAUCACAUUCUACAUCAGCCUCUUCUCGGCCGUCCUCGCUGCCCUGCUCUCACUUAUCACAGUGAGGGACCCCGGGACGUGGGCCCUAAAGGUCGAUUCAGGCUUAGUAGCAAUCAUUUACUCGACGCUAGCGGGUACUUUGUUCCGGGUCACUGUGAUCAUGUGGUGCUUAAAGAGGAGAGGACCCGUGUACGUUGCAAUGUUCCAGCCCCUCGGAAUAAUCUUUGCCGUGGUGCUUGGAGUCAUCGUCUUGGGUGACUCAAUAUGCUGUGGAAGGUGUCAAAUGAAUGAUUGUCGUGUUGUUUAUGAUGUUCUGCUCCUCUUUUGUCUAGUCAAGAAUGUCCCACCUUUUCCUAUAAUGCUUUGUACAAUAUUAUUUUUCAUAUGUUUGAUUGUACUUUUGGCCAUGUGAUUCUAUUCCGAUGAAUACAAGGAGAACAGAAUAUAAUGCUGUAUAUAAAGGUCGAAUUAAUUAUCUAUAUUGCAGCUUGAUUGGAGCAGUGUUGACAAUGGGAGGAUACUAUGCAGUGAUGUGGGGGAAGGCCAAAGAGGUAGAAGACAUGGCCAGUGGACCCAAAGCAUUCGCUACUCUGCCACAAACAUGCCAAAAGAUCCCAUUGCUAAUAGCUCAAGAGCAAAGCUGACGAAAGGAAAAAGAGGAACAUGAUACAGAUCGAGCUCAUACUUAGCAUUGUAAGCGUACAGAUGUUCCAAAUUUGUAAAUCCAAGCGUGCUGCUAAUU
This is a non-coding RNA of Punica granatum (pomegranate), 1392 nucleotides long. The record is from RefSeq and is a predicted model, not a curated record. Lineage: Eukaryota; Viridiplantae; Streptophyta; Magnoliopsida; Myrtales; Lythraceae.